Molecule: long non-coding RNA, 339 nt
Organism: Scylla paramamosain (green mud crab)
Lineage: Eukaryota; Metazoa; Arthropoda; Malacostraca; Decapoda; Portunidae
Exons: 3
Source: RefSeq, a predicted model, not a curated record
AUUCGCUCUUCGUCACCCUCCAUCCACACGACAGAGGAGCCGCACCGCCGCCACCACCAUCACCGCAGCUGCCGUCCACCGCCUGCUGAAGGACGCCUCACUGAAUACUUUCAUGGUCCGUUGGUGCUCUUUUUUGUGGCCCAUCAUCUGUCCACACCAAGAAUGUGUCUCAUCAUUCAAGCCUCCCUCCAGAACUGAACUUUCAGCCUGAUACCCCUUCUGUUCACAAGUCAGAAACCUGAGGAUGAACUUUCCAGCUAUGUUCAAGUCAGACAUGAGGACUGCCUGCCCUGUUCUGUAUGACACUGAUGAUAAUAUCCUUAAUGAAUCUCUGACAAU